RNAcentral lists this transfer RNA (72 nucleotides) under Cyanidioschyzon merolae strain 10D. RNAcentral describes it as "tRNA-iMet(CAT)". It matches the Rfam family "tRNA". Rfam says of the family: Transfer RNA (tRNA) molecules are approximately 80 nucleotides in length. Their secondary structure includes four short double-helical elements and three loops (D, anti-codon, and T loops). Further hydrogen bonds mediate the characteristic L-shaped molecular structure. tRNAs have two regions of fundamental functional importance: the anti-codon, which is responsible for specific mRNA codon recognition, and the 3' end, to which the tRNAs corresponding amino acid is attached (by aminoacyl-tRNA synthetases). tRNAs cope with the degeneracy of the genetic code in two manners: having more than one tRNA (with a specific anti-codon) for a particular amino acid; and 'wobble' base-pairing, i.e. permitting non-standard base-pairing at the 3rd anti-codon position. The record is from RNAcentral. Lineage: Eukaryota; Rhodophyta; Bangiophyceae; Cyanidiales; Cyanidiaceae.
AGCGAGAUGGCGCAGCGGAAGCGUGAUGGGCUCAUAACCCAUAGGUCCGAGGAUCGAAACCUCGUCUCGCUA